AGGAUCUAUGAUGCUAUAUUGAAACUGCGUUAUCUUUCUGAAAGUUCCAGAAAGGAAUUGAAGAUAUUUAUAGUAUUUUGAGGUCAUGCU
Molecule: small nucleolar RNA, 90 nt
Organism: Prosopis cineraria
Lineage: Eukaryota; Viridiplantae; Streptophyta; Magnoliopsida; Fabales; Fabaceae
Product: small nucleolar RNA snoR27
Exons: 1
Source: RefSeq, a predicted model, not a curated record